RNAcentral lists this ribosomal RNA (254 nucleotides) under uncultured bacterium. RNAcentral's name for it is "partial 16S ribosomal RNA". It matches the Rfam family "Bacterial small subunit ribosomal RNA", at positions 524 to 776 of the family's 1533-position model. The record is from RNAcentral.
UACGUAGGGGGCUAGCGUUGUCCGGAAUCAUUGGGCGUAAAGAGCGCGUAGGCGGCCAGAUAAGUCCGGUGUGAAAGUCAAAGGCUCAACCUUUGAAUGCCGCUGGAAACUGUCUGGCUAGAGUCCGGGAGGGGCGAGUGGAAUUCCUGGUGUAGCGGUGAAAUGCGCAGAUAUCAGGAGGAACACCAAUGGCGAAGGCAGCUCGCUGGAACGGUACUGACGCUGAGGCGCGAAAGCGUGGGGGAGCAAACAGG